AGUCAGCUGUGGCACUAGUUUGGAAAUAAAAGCUUUGGCACUUUACAAUAACUGCAAUAAAUGCAGCCUAUUAAAUGAAUUAUAAACAUUCAUGUAGAUUCUGAUAAUGUACAUAUCUUUGUCAAAAAUGUUUGAUAAGAAACACAUUUAGACAACAUGUGUGCGUAGCGCAGUACGUGUGAUGUCACGACGUCAUCAGCAAAUUUGCGCCCGGUGCACAUGCGCAUUGCGAGUUUGCGCAGACAGGUGUCUACGGUCGGAGUGGAAUGAAGAAGUUGCAUCUGAUAAUUCUUCCAUUGUGUAGCAGCAACUGCAGCUGACAUGGAAUGAGGAUUAUCGGAUUCACCUCUCACUGAUCAUCCAAGGUGAAUUGAUGACCUCAAGCAAAUGGAUGUUGUCAUCUGAAGAGAAAGUUAUCCUGGGCCCAUGUUUAGAGGCAUUUGGGGCAUAUCUGACACAUAUCACAAUCAAGCUGCAUGCACACUUGAGUUUAUUCAGAGAGAAGUUGUGGGCAUCAGUCCGGAAACUGGAUCAAAAAUUUGCUGCUGGAAUGUGAGACAAAUAAAGGCAUGGAAUGAACCCAAAUGUAUGAACACUGCUACGAAAACUAAUGGACUUUGAAUGGCUUGCCAGUUAAUUCCAAUGGAAUUGAAGAAGAGACUCUGACAAGAUUUUCAAGUUUGUGUUUAAUUUAAAAGUUUAUCUUCAUAGAUAAGCAAUUUAAAGGUAGGCACAGUUAAAACUAUUUCUUGUGUGUUUGUUUAAACUAUAAAUUUAUGACUGAAGUUUGGUCACUAUGUAGUAAUGUGUUCCUUUGUGGUUAAUUAAAUGCUGCAGUGCUUAGUGGUAUUCGUUGUUGUAUUUCCAAGGCUAAAGCCUUAUUUUGUGAUCUGCAUUGUAUUGGAGAGUUUUGGAAACUAAUACUUAUUAUCUUAAUGCAUUGGAAAGUUUUGGACUAUUGAACAAUAAAUGCAUUUGGCUACAUCUGUGAUUUUCUGUUAUUUUAAGUGUUUUAGUUUACAUUACAUUAAAUGAUUUAUCACAGCAGUUAAAAAAAAUUACAGAGCAAAACCCUAAAAGUUUCAAUGCUGAAGAGGGAUACAUUUUAAACACUAUAAAUUUACUGAUUUAUGUAAUUUUACUUACAUUUCUACAGAAAAAUAAUCAAUAAAACAUUUACAGAAAUUUUCUGUAAAAAUAAUUUUUUAAUCUGUAAAAAUGAACGGCAAAUUUCUGUGGAAAUUAACGGCAAAUGUCUGAAAAUUAACGGCAAAUGUCUGAAAAUUAACGGCAAAUGUCUGUAAAAAUUAACGGCAAAUGUCUGUGGAAAUUAACGGCAAAUGUCUGUGGAAAUUAACGGCAAAUGUCUGGAAAUUAACGGCAAAUUUCUGUGAAAAUUAACGG
Long non-coding RNA from Paramisgurnus dabryanus, 1404 nucleotides. RefSeq lists it as uncharacterized. NCBI's taxonomy places the organism in Eukaryota, Metazoa, Chordata, Actinopteri, Cypriniformes, Cobitidae. The record is from RefSeq and is a predicted model, not a curated record.